GACGAACGCUGGCGGCGUGCUUAACACAUGCAAGUCGAACGGAAAGGCCCCUUUGGGGGUACUCGAGUGGCGAACGGGUGAGUAACACGUGAGUAACCUGCCCUUGACUUCGGGAUAACUUCAGGAAACUGGGGCUAAUACCGGAUAGGAAUCCUUGCUGCAUGGUGGGGGUUGGAAAGCUUCGGCGGUUUUGGAUGGACUCACGGCUUAUCAGCUUGUUGGUGGGGUAGUGGCUUACCAAGGCUUUGACGGGUAGCCGGCCUGAGAGGGCGACCGGCCACAUUGGGACUGAGAUACGGCCCAGACUCCUACGGGAGGCAGCAGUGGGGAAUAUUGCACAAUGGGCGGAAGCCUGAUGCAGCAACGCCGCGUGCAGGAUGACGGCCUUCGGGUUGUAAACCGCUUUCAGCAGGGGCGAAGCUUGUGGUGACGGUACCUGCAGAAGAAGCACCGGCUAACUACGUG
Molecule: ribosomal RNA, 465 nt
Filed under: uncultured bacterium
Lineage: Bacteria
Description: partial 16S ribosomal RNA
Rfam family: Bacterial small subunit ribosomal RNA
Source: RNAcentral